Molecule: ribosomal RNA, 301 nt
Filed under: uncultured bacterium
Lineage: Bacteria
Description: partial 16S ribosomal RNA
Rfam family: Bacterial small subunit ribosomal RNA
Source: RNAcentral
CAGCAGCCGCGGGAAUACAGAGGGUGCGAGCGUUAAUCGGAUUUACUGGGCGUAAAGCGUGCGUAGGCGGCUAAUUGAGUCGGAUGUGAAAUCCCCGAGCUUAACUUGGGAAUUGCAUUCGAUACUGGUUAGCUAGAGUGUGGGAGAGGAUGGUAGAAUUCCAGGUGUAUCGGUGAAAUGCGUAGAGAUCUGGAGGAAUACCGAUGGCGAAGGCAGCCAUCUGGCCUAACACUGACGCUGAGGUACGAAAGCAUGGGGAGCAAACAGGAUUAGAUACCCGAGUAGUCCCUGUCUCUUAUAC